This is a long non-coding RNA of Gasterosteus aculeatus aculeatus (three-spined stickleback), 7999 nucleotides long. NCBI's taxonomy places the organism in Eukaryota, Metazoa, Chordata, Actinopteri, Perciformes, Gasterosteidae. The record is from Ensembl.
UCCUUUGGAGGAUGAGUAAAAUUGAUGGCUUUUCAAAAUGAUGCGGUCAUAUGACCAAUUUUUGUAAUGAUAUGACAUGUGUGUUUAUUUUCGCUACCCACCAACUUAAUGUUUCGUAAUUUAUGCCGUCUAUUAGUUUUAUAAAAAACAACCCCAAAAUCUGUGAUGCAUUGCAUUGCAAGCGUCUACACCAUCCAAGAAUCAAGGCAAUGUAGAUAUUGUGUCCUUUAAACUGCAUUAUGAUUAGAAACAAAGACAUGCCCUUGUAACACUGCAACAAUAGAAAUAAUCUGAUAUACGAAUUUGAUCAAUCAAAUUGAAUUAAACUAACAUUUCUGCUGUAGUUCUGUUUGAUGGGCGGUUUCUGUUGGUUUUGUGUGUCAACCAAAAAUAAGAACACACAUUGGAGAUUGUUACAAUCAUUCAUGACCGAGAGAAGUUAAAUAUUACAUGGCCCUGGUCAAUUUGCAUUAGAUUACAAAACAAAAAACAGAACGAUAACAAAAAUCUCAAAUAUUUAAUUAGUGCUCACUUCAUCAGAACCGUUGGGCAGGGCAACAGUAAGCCUGGCUUAGUUAAAGCACACAUGGAUUUAGAUAAAAAGGUGUGACCUUACUCCUUUUUUCCCUGGGACCUAAUCAACAUGGGCUAGAGAUUAGUUUAUUUUGAAAAAGGUGCGCGGGCCUAAAUGAUAAGAGUUCUUCUAGUAUAAAUGUAUGAGAAGAGCAUAUUAUUCUUUUGAAUGGCAUAAAUACAAAGUCAUCCUGCGGCCCGAGGAGCUCGUUUUUCUGCGCCUCCUGAAACUGGCCAAGGUUCCAUUGAGCGAGUUUGACUUUCCUUGGAGUAAGAUCAUGUCAUAGAGAGACAUAAAAUUGCUCAAUAUCUUCCAUAAAAGCCACUAAAAAAGAAAAUAUAGUUAAUUAUAUUAUAUAGUUUUCAGUAUGCACUAUAGUCAGUUAACUCCCAGUACUGUUGUGAAGGACGUCACUUACCGGCCAAGAAAGUCAGGGAGAACGCAUGACCUGACUGACCUGUGUGGGUUGAAGGUCAGUAAGGUUUGCAUAUAGACCACAGAAUUUGCCCGUUUUGGAGGGAUGGACCAUGACUGUCUCACUUUGACCUCUGAUUUAUCUGCGUUUCAACCAAAUGACAGGGAGACCCCUGAUAUCAAGAUGUGAGGGAGGGACACAAAACCCCAGUUUACACGUUGUCACAGGGGACACAAGAUAAGCAAGGUUCCAAACUCAGUCGCUGUCCCCUAAGAAUGUGGAGAUUGGGAGGCUGCCCCUGAGCUCACAGACAUCCGGUCCGUCAGAACAACCCAGGAACCAUUUGUCGGAUCACGCUGCUGCCCAGGACUGCGGCCUGCCUCCUCCUCACACAGCACGACAUGAGAGGACGACAGCAGCUUCUCUUAGCUCAGUCAGCGCAGUGUACAUUGCUCAUUCGUCUAACAUAAGCAACACUCCCACACUGAUGGUAAGGUACACAGUCGUCCCUAUCAAACAUGUUUGUAUUGUGGCACAGCCUUCUGAACAACGAGUGGCUAAAGAAACACAUUGGAUCAGAGAAGUGAAUGAGUGGGAACUGGAUUCAACAAACUCUUUUGGGCUGCUGCGGCCAAGACACUGGAGGGAUAAUGGUAAAAAAUACAAACCAUUGAAAGUGGAUCCGAUUCUCAUUGAAGCAUGGAUCCCCAUUAUUCACUUACCACAAGGGUAUUCCCCCUCCACUGUCCUACUGGUAUUGCUUUUGCCUGGCAGGCUGCAGAAUACCUUCCCAGUGCCAGACAUGAGUCCAUCUGCCCUGCCCCAGCACACACUGCCCUCAUGCACAUAAGCGUGUAAAUAUCAAUCUCCACAACAGCAUAUCACAGACCAUGUUGUUGUGUGGAGACUGCCAGCACUCUUUGCAUUCUCUCUCACAGACCUCAGUGCCAUGAUGUCGAGGAGCUGCUACUACUGCGCAGGAGUUCUGCAAAGCGUUUUAUAUACACCUGUGGCACAGUUUGCAUUCUUUUCCACAUACCUGAAGCAUUAAAGGUUUUUAAGGCUGCAAAAAUUGUAUGACCAUUUUCUUUAACCCGAACUCACUUUUGUUUUCCAAGAGUGAUGUAGCCAACGGCAGCACAUCACUCGACACACCCCAUAACGGCGGGGCAAGGCCGUCCUUCAGUGAACAGUUUUCCAUGAGUCUGCAUGGCACUUCCCCUUUAUUGCAGUUGUAAUUGUCUCAUGGUAGAAUGCAGCAUGCAGCAACCAAUCGGAGACCACCACAAACUGGCCAUCACUUGGGACGUAUUCAAGUUCCCACCUGCAGUGUUGAAGACUGUCAGCUGUAAUCUUACAUCAGUGUGAAUCAGGGGUUAUGGAAAGGCCUUAAACAGACGAUCAACCUGGGUACGGGUGGGAAAAAAGAAAAAAAAACACCUUUGAGUGACGUGGUGGUUCACUCAAGUGUUAAUUAGACUUCCCAAAGUCCUCACUGAGACCUCAACUGGUUGUCAGGUUGUGGUAUUUUCCUUUGGAGCCUGUAGAGCCUCAUUGAUGUGGUGGCUCACAGCCACGCUGAAUCAGCCCUACACACCAAAACCUUGUAAAAGACUGUGACAUUACAUUCAGAGGAUGGAGGACAGGCUUAGCUACAGGUCUUGUGGUGACUAUUGGCUGGACAGGGCACAUGCAAAAGGAUUUAUUGGUGUCUCGUUUAAAGAUUAUAUUACAAUAUUCAUUGUAUUUUUCAUUCGUCAACACAACUACUUUGCAAAUGCCACUGCAACAUAGUAGCCACACUUGGCUUAUCUGCAAACGAUGGAAUAUGAAUACAUAGCCUCGUCAGAUGAAACUUGACAUUCCGUUAUAUAUGUGUUCAACUCCAUUACUGUCAUUGAAAGAAUUGGGAUUGAAUAGAUUUGACCAUCUGCUGGCAAAGUCACUUCAUCUAGUUUCUGCUUACAACCAGUACAGCAGUUGCUGUCCCUGUCAAAGAGCCGGUAAACCAGCUCUGCCCUCGUCUUAAUGGGAGGGGAACCACGUGUAAUUACAGAAAUACCUUACCUGACCAUUAACGUGAAAAUAAAAGAGACUCAGAUCAGCAUUUCUUCAUCAAUGACUGGCAUUUACUUACAUAUAUCCUGGACGAUAACCACAUAACAUACAAUGACGACCUGAGUGUAAGAUGGAGCUGUGUCGUCAUUAUGGUUGUUUUUCUAGGACACACUAUGUCAGACCAAACGGGGCCCCUUUGCUGACUGCAAGCAGACACAUGUUGCCUAUAAGCCAUGGUUAAGUUUAGUGUGGGUAGUGCUGUCCUCCCCAAGUCCAUCUGCACAGCACAGACAAGAUUUUCAUAUCUCUCCUCACCUGGAUCUGGAUUUUGCUCAGCUAAAAAGAAAAAUACAGUUAUUUUACUUCCAACAACAUGAAAAAACGUAGAUUCCGUUUAGAUAAUCACCAUCUUUGUGGCAAACCAUGAUUCCAUCUGAAACUCUACAACUGUGCUGUGCGGCAGGCAAGAGGAGACCCGCAGGUACGGGUAACAGUACACUUAUGCAGUAGUUUGCUCUCUGAGGCAUGGAAAUAGAAACAACAUGAAAAUAAAUCCCAGUAUUUUUAGGGGGAAUGUGCAUACUGAAAAGGUAACAUGAAUUUUGCUAACAGAAAUAGAGCGAUGGAUAGAUUUGAACGACAAAGCAGUUUGUUUACUUCCCGGCUUAAACCUUCUCUCAUCCUCUACGCAACGACGCGGCUCCGCGGCCGGUCCCAAGCAGGAUGAUAUCGUUCCACACAUGAUUAAUUGAAAUUGUAAUGAAGUCACAUUUGUCGCUGCACAAUGUUUCAUUAUCUAACAACCUCCAUGAUAUGAGGCUCAACAACAUAACGAUCAGAGGCCGUGGUGCCAUUGGAUAGCUGCAUGUUAACUGAGGGAUUAUCAUCGUAGUUCCCACAAAGACCACACAUCUUGAACAGAAUGUGCUUUCACAGGUCUGAUAUAAGCCCAACGGACUGUGGGGUCUUGAUGCUUAGUCAUCCAUCUUUCUGGCAGGUUUUCGUAAACGGCAUUUACAUCAGUGGAAUAAUUUAUGUUAAAAAAACACAUUAUAGAGACUAUCCAGCAGUUUGUGUACACUGUGAUUUUAUUUUUUUUACAUUGCAUUCUAAGAGAAAAAUAAUCAAUCAUUCUGAAAGCUGUGAAAUAAUUACCUUAAUAUUUCCAGAAAAAGCUGUUGAUGUCUUAACAUUUGAUUGACUUGCAAGUAGAUGUGCCUGCCCUCACUGUGGUCGCCCUGUGCAGCUAUCAAGACAGGCUCCGCAUCCACUUUAUUGAGGCCCAUCUGCACCAAGGUGUAGUUACAUGAACCAUGAAAUUCAAACGCCUGUCCAUUAAACGCGGUGCUUUGGGAACCAUCAACAGAGCAGUGUGCCACUUUGAGUCCCGGGUGGCAACCUUGAACUCCUCUAGUAAGCUUCCACUCCUUAUUCCACAGGAGUUAUUACGGGAAGUCAUGUGUGCCGCAGCAUGACACAAACAGCUUUUCUCACAUGCAGACGCCUCGUCUCCUGCCUCGAGGUUUUCUCCACUGUGAAAGCGGUCCCGGUUUUCUGCAUAGACCCCAACGCCGUCACUGUGAACUAAACCUGCUUCACAGAGGCUGGUCUCUCUGACGCUGCUGUGUUAAUCCGCCAGCCGAGGCAGAGGUGGACCUCAUGUUGUUCAGAACUCCUGUUGUAACCCCUAUUGGAGAGAGUGACAAAUCUGUGGGGAUACAGAGAGACAUCAGUCACUAAGGACAGGAAGACAUGAACAUGUUGGAAAGGUUAAGGUUGACCAGUGAUGCAUUGGUACCAUCUAGUGGUCCAAGAGCACCGGGAUUGUUGUGGCCUCAAUAGUGCUUUGAGUCACAUCGCAACAUCAUACACUUUCAACACUUUCAAUAAAUAACAAUGGAACAAACAUUAAGUUCUUACUGGCUGAUCGGAUAUCAUGUCCUCCAUUUCCCUUUUCUCAUGUUGCGUUUUCAAUAUCAACAAUCUAAACAUGAUUAAGUGUUGUUUGCUCUCACAGGCAUCUGCAAACUCUCCAUAUUCCAUUUGGUGUGCAAUGAUGCUGAACUGCAAACCGCAGAGUUACAAGUGUAGAGGAUAUUAAUUGAAUUCACUGGCACUUCAGAGUUGGGAGCACAUUAACACUUACAGCAGAAUGCAGGCCUCCUGCAUGCAUAAAGGCAGGAUACUCUGCCAGGGAGGGACACAGUACAGGCUGGAGACCUCCAUGGAGACACAGGUCACUGACGCCAUGUUUGUAGAAGCUGGAGGAGUCCACUUCUCCAUGACGCUGUGUCAAUGGUCCAUUGACUUCAAAAAGUCUUCCCCGAGCCUAAAGGGUCAGAGAAGAGGGACAGGCGCUCAGAUGAACAUUUUUGACAACUCCCUUCCUGACAGCCCUUCACACACCGAGCAUUCUGUCCACUUCUUCAAGCUUUCACAAGAUGUUGGGGUCUGAGAUCCUUCUUUGGACUAUUUGCUGUGAGGUCAUGCUGGAUCCGCGUUGAAUUUAACACACAGUGUGUGAAUUUAACACACACACACACACACACACGGUGUUAGCAUAUUUGUUUAAGGGACUACUUCCAAAUAUGCCCUUUUUGCUGGGACUCAAUUCAAAGCCCAUAUUGGUGUAGAUGUAAGUGUGCAGCACCAAAGAGAAGACCAGUGCAGUAGGGCUAUAAUGAAAGGGAAUACCAUCAUCCUGUAGGGGGGGCCAAAAUUGCAUUUGAAAAUCCGCACAAGGCAGCACGAUUUUAAAAGCCCUAUGGGGCAAAUUUGUGAUUUAGGCCAAAGCCAAAUAAAGUGAAUUGAUCGAAUUGAAAAAUAACUACUAUGUGUGGCGUGACCUUCAGAGUGAAUUCAUUCAAGUCAACAAGAAGAUUGUGAAACUAACGUCUAUGCUCUCAGGGUGAGAGGGUGCAGGCCGCUUAAAACAAUAUGGGUCCACCCAAGUGGUAGAGCAGGUUGAGCCACGGGACUCAUAAUGACUAUUGGACAGAAAAUGGCUGGUUGGAGAGGAGGAUAAUGGUCAACAGUAGGGAGGAGAAAACUGCACACACAAAGACACGGACAACUGUAAUCAAUGAAUUGCAAGGUGCAUUGGUACCUAUGAUUGAUAAGCAUUGCAUUAAAAAAAAACAAAAAUAACUAUUAAAAGGGGCAGGAGUUUAACCUCCUUUCAGUGAAAUCACAGGGAAGUGAGAAAACACUGGCGUGAAUUUGCAUAACAACCACGUCAGAAAGGUAAAGUGACACAAAAUUUGAUAAUGCAAGAUCAAUGCAUGCUGCAGCUCAGCGACAGUUAGCCUUUGAGGAACUGUCAGCCAACCCAGAAGAACCAGCUGAGCAAACCGUUCUUUGCACAGCCCCAAGUGUUGUUAAGGGUGCAGCUUUCUCGCUCGGGGGAAAAUGCUGACUCGCAGAACAUGGUGGAAACACUCCCCAGCUCCCGGUUGCUCUACAAAGAAAAGUGAGGCACUGUUAAUAUGUGUCACCCAACCGUUCUUUAAAACACAGAGCAAACAAACAACCCAGGAAAAGGCUGGUGACAUUUUGUGGUUAUUCAUGUCACAGGCACCAGUGGGGCGGAUGUACGUUUGGCCUUCUGAGGUUCUCGCUACGCCGGACUUUUACAGCAUCGAAAACUGAAAACUGAAUGUCCAGCGGCAUUCUCUGCGCUGAAGUCAUGGUUAACCACCAGCACAGCUGAUAAGUGAGAAAACCGACAGCGAAACAAGUGAAAGAUGUAAAAUAGUGCAUUUUAUGUGUGAGUGUGUGUGUGUUUGUGUGUGUGUGUGUGUGUGAGAGGGAGAUAGAGAACACCUGCAGUAUUUUUUGCCCAUUUAAAAAAAUCAAAAUUCUUAAACUUCUCUACAUAUCGCCACAUAAACUUUCCAAAUAUGUCUGUUUGAGUUUAAAGAGGAAAAUUUUAAGGGUCAAUCACCUUUAAUGAUCAAAGCUUACUGUAGUACUCUGUUGUAGUUUCUGUAACUAAGGAACCAACAUGCAACCAACAACAACACCGGAACCCACAUCCCCAGCGUGCAUGAAUAGUCAUGUGAUAUUCAUUUUCAGGCUUGCAACUAUGAACGGAUAUCAUUUUGCAAAUGAUGCUCGCCUGCAUGAGUGAAGGUUGUUUCUGUUUAAAAACCGGGCGAGAUUCAGCCUGGAGAUGAUGCUUCCAGUCGCGCUGCGGGGGCCAAAGCAGUUUCUGGAGCACCUCAGAAAAGAAUUCAGGGAUUUAUUCCUUCAAGUGAGUGGAAAGUUACUCUUCUGUACAUUAACCUAUGUGUUUAAAUACAAGAAAAAACAAUGUUAAUUGCCAGCUCUAAAAAGUGUAUGAUUAUUUCCAGUUUGUUCAGUACACUCCCCAUAACAACACUUCCAUUAACACACUUGACACUUACGCAGCUGCAACUGAAAUAAAAAAGAGAAGUACAAAUAGCAUGUGUUACUUUGACACGAAUGAAUACAGUCAUCAAAUACUCAAAACGUAAUGCAAAGUACUCAAACACAAACAAUUCAUAUUUUUCUCACAAAAUGCUGGAUAAAGUUGCGUGUUCAUGUUACUCAGAUAGUGUCCCACAUCUCUGUUGGUGCAAACAAAUCAGGACUUUAAAUCUCCUGUCUGAGAAUUGUGAUGUACCUGCCGUCUCCGAUCACCUAAAUCCAACAUAGGUACAGGCUGGCAGAUACCAUCACCAGAUGGAAGUACUGUUAGAGAUGAGAGACAUUAUACACCGCCGCAUGUGAAGUAAACAAGUCGAUAGGGACUGUCACCAGUAAUGUGGAUUUUAUCUGAGGUCAUAACUGAGAUGACCUUCAUGAUGCCACCUUUCACUCCUUACUGGCGACACUGAAGCUAGGGGAGGGAUAUAAUGUGUAAUAAAAACUUGUUUUUGGUUUGAUUCUAGCAAAUCCACACAAGCAAUGUGUUUGCAGCUGGUGAAGCC